GGUAGCUUGCUACCUGAUUCAGCGGCGGACGGGUGAGUAAUGCCUAGGAAUCUGCCCGAUAGUGGGGGACAACGUUUCGAAAGGAACGCUAAUACCGCAUACGUCCUACGGGAGAAAGCAGGGGACCUUCGGGCCUUGCGCUAUCGGAUGAGCCUAGGUCGGAUUAGCUAGUUGGUGGGGUAAAGGCUCACCAAGGCGACGAUCCGUAACUGGUCUGAGAGGAUGAUCAGUCACACUGGAACUGAGACACGGUCCAGACUCCUACGGGAGGCAGCAGUGGGGAAUAUUGGACAAUGGGCGAAAGCCUGAUCCAGCCAUGCCGCGUGUGUGAAGAAGGUCUUCGGAUUGUAAAGCACUUUAAGCUGGGAGGAAGGGCAGUAAGUUAAUACCUUGCUGUUUUGACGUUACCAGCAGAAUAAGCACCGGCUAACUUCGUGCCAGCAGCCGCGGUAAUACGAAGGGUGCAAGCGUUAAUCGGAAUUACUGGGCGUAAAGCGCGCGUAGGUGGUUCAGCAAGUUGGAUGUGAAAGCCCCGGGCUCAACCUGGGAACUGCAUCCNAAACUACUGGGCUAGAGUAUGGUAGAGG
This 587-nucleotide ribosomal RNA is filed under the name uncultured Gammaproteobacteria bacterium. RNAcentral describes it as "bacterial SSU rRNA". It matches the Rfam family "Bacterial small subunit ribosomal RNA", at positions 74 to 657 of the family's 1533-position model. Lineage: Bacteria; Pseudomonadati; Pseudomonadota; Gammaproteobacteria. The record is from RNAcentral.